UGAACGCUGGCGGCGUGCCUAAUACAUGCAAGUCGAGCGAACAGACGAGGAGCUUGCUCCUCUGACGUUAGCGGCGGACGGGUGAGUAACACGUGGAUAACCUACCUAUAAGACUGGGAUAACUUCGGGAAACCGGAGCUAAUACCAGAUAAUAUAUUGAACCGCAUGGUUCAAUAGUGAAAGACGGUUUUGCUGUCACUUAUAGAUGGAUCCGCGCCGCAUUAGCUAGUUGGUAAGGUAACGGCUUACCAAGGCAACGAUGCGUAGCCGACCUGAGAGGGUGAUCGGCCACACUGGAACUGAGACACGGUCCAGACUCCUACGGGAGGCAGCAGUAGGGAAUCUUCCGCAAUGGGCGAAAGCUUGACGGAGCACCGCCGCGUGAGUGAUGAAGGUCUUCGGAUCGUAAAACUCUGUUAUUAGGGAAGAACAAAUGUGUAAGUAACUAUGCACGUCUUGACGGUACCUAAUCAGAAAGCCACGGCUAACUACGUG
RNAcentral lists this ribosomal RNA (495 nucleotides) under uncultured bacterium. RNAcentral describes it as "partial 16S ribosomal RNA". It matches the Rfam family "Bacterial small subunit ribosomal RNA", at positions 30 to 507 of the family's 1533-position model. The record is from RNAcentral.